CCUACGUGUGGCAGCAGUAGGGAAUUUUCGGCAAUGGGGGGAACCCUGACCGAGCAACGCCGCGUGAAGGAAGAAGGAAUUCGUUCUGUAAACUUCUGUUAUAAAGGAAGAAAGACGGAUGGAGGAAAUGACAUCCGAGUGACGGUACUUUAUGAGACAGCCACGGCUAACUACGUGCCAGCAGCCGCGGUAAUACGUAGGUGGCAAUCGUUAUCCGGAAUUAUUUGUCGUAAAGAGGGAGCCGGCGGCAGCAAAGGUCUGUGGUGAAAGACUGAAGCUUAACUUCAGUAAGCCGUAGAGACCGGGCAGCUAUAGUGCAGGAGAGGGUGGGGGAAUUCCAUGUGUAGCGGGAAAAUGCGUAGAUAUCUGGAAGAACACCAGUGGCGAAGGCGGCCGCCUGGCAUGUUACUGACGCUGAGGCACGAAAGCGUGGGGAGCAAAUAGGAUUAGAUACCCCAGUAGUC
This 464-nucleotide ribosomal RNA is filed under the name uncultured bacterium. Its description in RNAcentral is "partial 16S ribosomal RNA". It matches the Rfam family "Bacterial small subunit ribosomal RNA", at positions 338 to 795 of the family's 1533-position model. The record is from RNAcentral.